AGAAUUCUAUGAAGUGACCCUACUGAACUCUCAGAAAAGUUGCCAGCAAAAGAUAGAAGAAGCCAAUCAGGUUGCAGAAAAAUGGGAAAAGACACCAUCUCUAGGAACGGAUAAUGAAAAUCAGCCCAAAACAUCAGAGAUGGCGGUUUCAGGCGGGUCUGACCCAUCGGAGUCGCGUGAGCAUCAGGAGAAGGGGAAAUCGGUUCACGAUUACUGUUCCACCGAGAACGUUGCAAAACAAAGUCACACACGAUGUCCUGCCCACAAAUGUUCAGUCGAAUCGCCUGGAUGGCUGCCUAUUCAACAUUCU
Molecule: long non-coding RNA, 310 nt
Organism: Thamnophis elegans (Western terrestrial garter snake)
Lineage: Eukaryota; Metazoa; Chordata; Lepidosauria; Squamata; Natricidae
Exons: 3
Source: RefSeq, a predicted model, not a curated record